Molecule: non-coding RNA, 29 nt
Filed under: Mus musculus (house mouse)
Lineage: Eukaryota; Metazoa; Chordata; Mammalia; Rodentia; Muridae
Source: RNAcentral
UGAGAGCUACUAGAAGCUAAGGUUUGAGC